AAGGCGACGAUCAGUAGCCGACCUGAGAGGGUGAUCGGCCACAUUGGGACUGAGACACGGCCCAAACUCCUACGGGAGGCAGCAGUGGGGAAUAUUGCGCAAUGGGGGAAACCCUGAUGCAGCAACGCCGCGUGAGCGAAGAAGUAUUUCGGUAUGUAAAGCUCUAUCAGCAGGGAAGAAGAAUGACGGUACCUGACUAAGAAGCUCCGGCUAAAUAC
This 218-nucleotide ribosomal RNA is filed under the name uncultured bacterium. RNAcentral's name for it is "partial 16S ribosomal RNA". It matches the Rfam family "Bacterial small subunit ribosomal RNA", at positions 270 to 504 of the family's 1533-position model. The record is from RNAcentral.